GGACUACCAGGGUAUCUAAUCCUGUUUGCUCCCCACGCUUUCGAGCCUCAGCGUCAGUAAUGGACCAGUAUGUCGCCUUCGCCACUGGUGUUCUUCCGAAUAUCUACGAAUUUCACCUCUACACUCGGAGUUCCACAUACCUCUUCCAUACUCAAGAUAGCCAGUAUCAAAGGCAAUUCCAAGGUUGAGCCCUGGGCUUUCACCUCUGACUAAACUAUCCGCCUACGCUCCCUUUACGCCCAGUAAUUCCGAGCAACGCUAGCCCCCUUCGUAUUACCGCGGCUGCUGGCAC
RNAcentral lists this ribosomal RNA (292 nucleotides) under uncultured bacterium. RNAcentral's name for it is "partial 16S ribosomal RNA". The record is from RNAcentral.